CUACGGUCAUAUCAAGUUAAAAUACCAGUUCCGGUACGAUCCCAGUAGUUAAGCAACGUCGAGCUUGAUCAGUACCUAAACUGGUGACUACUUGGGUAUAGCAGGUGCUGUAAG
This is a non-coding RNA of Acanthosepion pharaonis, 114 nucleotides long. The record is from the annotation of a GenBank genome assembly. Lineage: Eukaryota; Metazoa; Mollusca; Cephalopoda; Sepiida; Sepiidae.